RNAcentral lists this transfer RNA (66 nucleotides) under Tupaia tana (large tree shrew). RNAcentral describes it as "tRNA-Arg". It matches the Rfam family "tRNA". Rfam says of the family: Transfer RNA (tRNA) molecules are approximately 80 nucleotides in length. Their secondary structure includes four short double-helical elements and three loops (D, anti-codon, and T loops). Further hydrogen bonds mediate the characteristic L-shaped molecular structure. tRNAs have two regions of fundamental functional importance: the anti-codon, which is responsible for specific mRNA codon recognition, and the 3' end, to which the tRNAs corresponding amino acid is attached (by aminoacyl-tRNA synthetases). tRNAs cope with the degeneracy of the genetic code in two manners: having more than one tRNA (with a specific anti-codon) for a particular amino acid; and 'wobble' base-pairing, i.e. permitting non-standard base-pairing at the 3rd anti-codon position. The record is from RNAcentral. Lineage: Eukaryota; Metazoa; Chordata; Mammalia; Scandentia; Tupaiidae.
UAGUGAUUAGUUUAAUAAAAACAAAUGAUUUCGACUCAUUAGACUAUGGAUCACCAUAAUCACUAA